RNAcentral lists this ribosomal RNA (1355 nucleotides) under Burkholderia sp. RNAcentral describes it as "bacterial SSU rRNA". It matches the Rfam family "Bacterial small subunit ribosomal RNA", at positions 99 to 1444 of the family's 1533-position model. The record is from RNAcentral. Lineage: Bacteria; Pseudomonadati; Pseudomonadota; Betaproteobacteria; Burkholderiales; Burkholderiaceae.
CGAACGGGUGAGUAAUACAUCGGAACGUGUCCUGUAGUGGGGGAUAGCCCGGCGAAAGCCGGAUUAAUACCGCAUACGAUCUGUGGAUGAAAGCGGGGGAUCUUAGGACCUCGCGCUACAGGGGCGGCCGAUGGCAGAUUAGCUAGUUGGUGGGGUAAAGGCCUACCAAGGCGACGAUCUGUAGCUGGUCUGAGAGGACGACCAGCCACACUGGGACUGAGACACGGCCCACACUCCUACGGGAGGCAGCAGUGGGGAAUUUUGGACAAUGGGCGCAAGCCUGAUCCAGCAAUGCCGCGUGUGUGAAGAAGGCCUUCGGGUUGUAAAGCACUUUUGUCCGGAAAGAAAACCUCUUGGUUAAUACCUGAGGGGGAUGACGGUACCGGAAGAAUAAGCACCGGCUAACUACGUGCCAGCAGCCGCGGUAAUACCCGCGGUAAUACGUAGGGUGCAAGCGUUAGUGCGAAAAGCUUGGGGAGGCGGUUGCGCAGGCGGUCCGUGAAAUCCCCGGGCUUAACCCCGGGCUUGCAUUUGUGACUGGCUGUGUGACUUAUGGCAGAGGGUGGUACAGAGGGACGUGUAGCAGUGAAAUGCGUAGUGAAAUGCGUGGAGAUGUAUGGCGAUGGCAGCCGCGAGGGCCAAUACUGACGCUCAUGCAGACGCUCGUGCACGAAAGCGUGGGGAGCAAACAGGGUUAGAUACCCUGGUAAACGAUGUCCUCAACGAUGUCAACUAGUUGUCGGGUCUUCAUUGACUUGGUAAGUUAGCUAACGCGUGUAGUUGACCGCCUGGGGAGUACGGUCGCAAGAUUAAAACUCAAAGGAAUUGACGGGGACCCGCACAAGCGGUGGAUGAUGUGGAUUAAUUCGAUGCAACGCGAAAAACCUUACCUACCCUUGACAUGUAUGGAAUCCUGCUGAGAGGUGGGAGUGCCCGAAAGGGAGCCAUAACACAGGUGCUGCAUGGCUGUCGUCAGCUCGUGUCGUGAGAUGUUGGGUUAAGUCCCGCAACGAGCGCAACCCUUGUCCCUAGUUGCUACGCAAGAGCACUCUAGGGAGACUGCCGGUGACAAACCGGAGGAAGGUGGGGAUGACGUCAAGUCCUCAUGGCCCUUAUGGGUAGGGCUUCACACGUCAUACAAUGGUCGGAACAGAGGGUCGCCAACCCGCGAGGGGGAGCCAAUCCCAGAAAACCGAUCGUAGUCCGGAUCGCACUCUGCAACUCGAGUGCGUGAAGCUGGAAUCGCUAGUAAUCGCGGAUCAGCAUGCCGCGGUGAAUACGUUCCCGGGUCUUGUACACACCGCCCGUCACACCAUGGGAGUGGGUUUUACCAGAAGUGGCUAGUCUAACCGCAA